Non-coding RNA from Corylus avellana, 1277 nucleotides. Lineage: Eukaryota; Viridiplantae; Streptophyta; Magnoliopsida; Fagales; Betulaceae. The record is from RefSeq and is a predicted model, not a curated record.
AAAAAAUAUAUAUUAUACAUAUAAAGAUGGGAAAUACAUAUAAGUUGGGAUAUAUAAUUUUGACACAUAAUUGCUAUUCAGCAAUGAAUCUCAGUUCUGAUGUUAUUGACAAAUGCCUACAAAGUCGGCCUUUAGUAUGUGGUCUGCGUUAUGGAAAAUUUAACUCUAAGAAACUGAGCUAUGAGGCAUUUUUGUUAACUCACUCCUCUUAACUCCUAACUCUUGACGUGCCUCUCUGAUAUCAAAUGAUUAACUGCGUGCCUCUCUGUUAUCAAAUGCUCGAGUGACUGUAUUGAACACUCCUGAAAAAUGUAAUAUAUUUAUAUCAAUUGUUGAUUUGUAAACCUUCUUUAACUUGGUGGUAGAUAUUCCAAAUGGUUUUGAUUUUUGACGUUGUUAGCUUAUGAAACUGCAAGUCCUUUUUGUUCUGAUCAGUGUCAGACUGAGAUGAAUUGAUUACAGGCCUUUAAAUUGCUGCAAAAUCCUCUAGGUUCUUUGAAUAUCUUGGAUGGGCUUCUAGAGCACAAGAAUUUCAUUGCACUAUCCUCCCACUCUUUCCCACAUGCUAAAACCACUGGUUAUUUUCUUGUUCUGGUUCCACUUAUAGCAUUUUGCAUUAGAUGCAUAAUUGCUGCCUUUCACACUAGAGCUGCUGGAGAGGUGAGAUCUCAGGUUGUAAGUGAAUCAGAGGGACGACAUCCUGGGUGUAGAAGCGUGCGGUGGAAAUCUGCCCUGAGUGACAUAAGGGAAACAGAUAAUUUGGAUGCUGAGUCAAGUCCACUGUCCUAUAGCGAUUCAGAUGAUCAAUCUCAAGCUUCUAUCGAAGAGGUGUCACAUGCUUACAGCAAGCUUGAACAGGAUUACCAGAAAUUUCUAUCAGAAUGUGGAAUGAGUGAAUGGGGUUAAUGGCGUGGAGGUUCUCCUGAAUUAACCAUUCUGGUGCUUUAAUUUCACUGUCAUUAUCCUUUAGUCUUCUAUGAUGAGCCACAAGCUAUGGAAUCCCUAAGAGCAGUAGCAUGAACCUCUUCUUGUUUGUGUUUUUUCUUCUUUUCUUUUUCAAUUGUACAGGUUUUAGAUAUAAUGUAAAUUAUAAUGCUAGGAUAUAUAGGAUUAGAUUUCAAAUUAAUUACAUUUUUUCAGCCCCCGAGUUGUUUAAGUUUCAGCUUGUAGUUUUUGUAUACCAGAAGAUUGUUGGAAAAGGUUUUGUUACUGAAAAAAUUGAAUGUAAAAGAUACAAUUAUACCAAUUUUUGGGUCCCCCUUAAGGCACUUACAAUU